UAGCAUAUCAAUAAGCGGAGGAAAAGAAACUAACAAGGAUUCCCCUAGUAACUGCGAGUGAAGCGGGAAAAGCUCAAAUUUAAAAUCUGGCGGUCUUUGGCCGUCCGAGUUGUAGUCUGGAGAAGUGCUUUCCGCGCUGGACCGUGUACAAGUCUCUUGGAACAGAGCGUCAUAGAGGGUGAGAAUCCCGUCUUUGACACGGACUACCAGUGCUUUGUGAUGCGCUCUCAACGAGUCGAGUUGUUUGGGAAUGCAGCUCAAAAUGGGUGGUAAAUUCCAUCUAAAGCUAAAUAUUGGCGAGAGACCGAUAGCGAACAAGUACCGUGAGGGAAAGAUGAAAAGCACUUUGGAAAGAGAGUUAAACAGUACGUGAAAUUGCUGAAAGGGAAACGAUUGAAGUCAGUCGCGUUGGCCGGAACUCAGCCUUGCUUCCGCUUGGUGUAUUUUCUGGUUGACGGGCCAGCAUCAGUUUUGAUCGUUGGAUAAAGGCUGGGGGAAUGUGGCACCUUCGGGUGUGUUAUAGCCCUCGGUCACAUACAACGGCUGGGACUGAGGAUCGCAGCACGCCUUUAUGGUCGGGGUUCGCCCACGUAUGUGCUUAGGAUGCUGGCAUAAUGGCUUUAAACGACCCGUCUUGAAACACGGACCAAGGAGUCUAACAUGCCCGCGAGUGUUUGGGUGGAAAACCCGAGCGCGUAAUGAAAGUGAAAGUUGAGAUCCCUGUCAUGGGGAGCAUCGACGCCCGGACCUGAACUUCUGUGACGGCUCUGCGGUGGAGCGUGUAUGUUGGGACCCGAAAGAUGGUGAACUAUGCCUGAAUAGGGUGAAGCCAGAGGAAACUCUGGUGGAGGCUCGUAGCGACUCUGACGUGCAAAUCGCUUCGUCAAAUUUGGGUAUAAGGGGCGAAAGACU
RNAcentral lists this ribosomal RNA (912 nucleotides) under Rhodonia placenta. RNAcentral's name for it is "LSU rRNA". It matches the Rfam family "Eukaryotic large subunit ribosomal RNA", at positions 36 to 932 of the family's 3401-position model. The record is from RNAcentral. Lineage: Eukaryota; Fungi; Basidiomycota; Agaricomycetes; Polyporales; Adustoporiaceae.